Molecule: ribosomal RNA, 1112 nt
Filed under: Karlodinium veneficum
Lineage: Eukaryota; Dinophyceae; Gymnodiniales; Kareniaceae
Description: LSU rRNA
Rfam family: Eukaryotic large subunit ribosomal RNA
Source: RNAcentral
UACCCGCUGAAUUUAAGCAUAUAAGUAAGCGGAGGAUAAGAAACUAAAUAGGAUUCCCUCAGUAAUGGCGAAUGAACAGGGAUAAGCUCAGCUUGGAAAUUGGGCCCUCUGGGCUUGAAUUGUAGUCUUUCGAUGGCAUUGCCAGCGGAGGCGCAGAUGUAAGCCUCUUGGAAAAGAGCAUCAAUGAGGGUGAGAGUCCCGUUUGUCAUCUGCAGUCCUCUGUUUACGGUGUGCUUUCUAAGAGUCACGUUCCUUGGGAUUGGAGCGCAAAUUGGGUGGUAAAUUUCAUCUAAAGCUAAAUAUUGGUUCGAGACCGAUAGCAAACAAGUACCAUGAGGGAAAGGUGAAAAGGACUUUGAAAAGAGAGUUAAAAGUGCCUGAAAUUGCUGAAAGGGAAGCGAAUGGAACCAGUCUUCUUGGUGAGAUUGUUGUGCGCUAUUGUGAUUGCUUUCUGCUUCAACGCAAGUGUUGCAGUGGGUUUUGAGCAUGACGCGCACUUUGUUUCUCACCUCGUGUGUCAACGUCGGUUCAGAUUUGAGGAAAACUCUAGGGACAUGGUUAAUUACUCGCGAGUGAUUGAAUGUGCCUGGUAGAACUCAUGUCUAAACUGAUUUCCGCAUGUCUGGUCGCAGUGUUCUCAUUACCUGCGUCUGGGUUCGUGGCUUGUAGCUUCUGUUACUCGUCGCGGGCUUCUGGGCCUGGUCGUGGAGCAUCUCCCUGACAUUAGUACGAUGACAAAAUGGUUUCAUUCGACCCGUCUUGAAACACGGACCAAGGAGUCUAACAUAUGUGCAAGUUCACGGGUGUUAAACCUGAUUGCGCAAUGAAAGUGACUGCUGGGAUAUUUGCACCAGCAACCGACCAAUCAAUUGUGAGAGGUUUGAGUAUGAGCAUAUCUGUUAGGACCCGAAAGAUGGUGAACUAUGCGUGAGAAGGGUGAAGUCAGGGGAAACUCUGAUGGAGGCUCGUAGCGAUACUGACGUGCAAAUCGUUCGUCAUACUUGCGUAUAGGGGCGAAAGACUAAUCGAACCAUCUAGUAGCUGGUUCCCUCCGAAGUUUCCCUCAGGAUAGCUGGAGUUGAACAGUUUUAUCAGGUAAAGCGAAUGAUUAG